ACAUGAACAACGCAAUAAAAAAAAAUAACCAACAUUCUACAUAAAAGCGUUCCUACAAAGGCUUCUCUGAAUGCCCAUGAGGUAUGGAAAUCGUCUAUUAGAAUGGAGAAUGAUUCCCUUUUCUUUUAUAUUUUUUUUUAAAAGGAAAAAAAGGAUCGCGUCGGUCUUGGGUGCAGUGUUGCUCGGCCCUCUUUUUCGUUUUUCGAAAGAGGUUUGUGGGUGGGAUUGCAAUGACCGGCGGGACAU
This is a small RNA of 246 nucleotides. It matches the Rfam family "A. fumigatus sRNA Afu_182".